RNAcentral lists this ribosomal RNA (407 nucleotides) under uncultured bacterium. RNAcentral's name for it is "partial 16S ribosomal RNA". It matches the Rfam family "Bacterial small subunit ribosomal RNA", at positions 30 to 526 of the family's 1533-position model. The record is from RNAcentral.
AUUGAACGCUGGCGGCAGGCCUAACACAUGCAAGUCGAGCGGAGCGGCGGACGGGUGAGUAAUGCCUAUGAAUCUGCCUGGUAGUGGGGGAUAACGUCCGGUAACGGGCGCUGAUACCGCAUCCUCUCGCCUUCGCCUAGGUCGGAUUAGCUAGUGGGGGGGGUAAAGGCCUACCAAGGCGACGAGCCGUAACUGGUCUGAGAGGAUGAUCAGUCACACUGGAACUGAGACACGGUCCAGACUCCUACGGGAGGCAGCAGUGGGGAAUAUUGGACAAUGGGCGAAAGCCUGAUGCAGCCAUGCCGCGUGUGUGAAGAAGGUCUUCGGAUUGUAAAGCACUUUAAGUUGGGAGGCGUUACCAACAGAAUAAGCACCGGCUAACUUCGUGCCAGCAGCCGCGGUAAUAC